RNAcentral lists this ribosomal RNA (692 nucleotides) under uncultured archaeon. Its description in RNAcentral is "bacterial SSU rRNA". It matches the Rfam family "Archaeal small subunit ribosomal RNA", at positions 102 to 794 of the family's 1478-position model. The record is from RNAcentral.
GGAUAACCUACCCUUAGGACCGGGAUAACCCUGGGAAACUGGGGAUAAUACUGGAUAGGCAAUUUUUCCUGCAAUGGUUUUUUGUUUAAAUGUUUUUUCGCCUAAGGAUGGGUCUGCGGCCGAUUAGGUAGUUGGUUAGGUAAUGGCUUACCAAGCCGUUGAUCGGUACGGGUUGUGAGAGCAAGAGCCCGGAGAUGGAACCUGAGACAAGGUUCCAGGCCCUACGGGGUGCAGCAGGCGCGAAACCUCCGCAAUGUGAGAAAUCGCGACGGGGGGAUCCCAAGUGCCAUUCUUAACGGGAUGGCUUUUCAUUAGUGUAAAGAGCUUUUGGAAUAAGAGCUGGGCAAGACCGGUGCCAGCCGCCGCGGUAACACCGGCAGCUCUAGUGGUAACAAUUUUUAUUGGGCCUAAAGCGUCCGUAGCCGGUUUAAUAAGUCUCUGGUGAAAUCCUGUAGCUUAACUGUGGGAAUUGCUGGAGAUACUAUUAGACUUGAGAUCGGGAGAGGUUAGAGGUACUCCCAGGGUAGAGGUGAAAUUCUGUAAUCCUGGGAGGACCGCCUGUUGCGAGGGCGUCUAGCUGGAACGAUUCUGACGGUGAGGGACGAAAGUUAGGGGCGCGAACCGGAUUAGAUACCCGGGUAGUCCUAACUGUAAACGAUGCGGACUUGGUGUUGGGGUGGCUUUGAGCUGCC